Molecule: non-coding RNA, 736 nt
Organism: Heterocephalus glaber (naked mole-rat)
Lineage: Eukaryota; Metazoa; Chordata; Mammalia; Rodentia; Bathyergidae
Source: RefSeq, a predicted model, not a curated record
ACAGAAAAGACAAGAAGAUACCCACAAGGAAAUGCAAACUAACACUGGACUUCUCAUUAACAUCACCACUACAAGAAGUUAAUGGCAUAAUAUCUUCAACACACAGAAACAAAACUGUGAAUCUGGAGUUUUAUACUCAGUUAUAUUAUCAUUUAAGAAAUUUUCAAACAUACAAAGAGUACUACUGUUUAUUAGACACAGAUACUUGUUAAUGAUAUAAUUUUCUUUUGAUAGGAGUUCAACAGGGUUGAAGCAAGACACAUUCAAAGAAUGAAGGUCAAAGCUGGGAAGUCUUCCAUGAGGCAACACUGUGAUGUAGCAAUAGGAGUGAAGAAUCAAGUUAUGAAGUUAAUAAAAUGAGGUGGAUUAGAAACUUAAAAGGAUGGCAGCCAAUCCACAGGAUGGGCCAGGUGGUGCCAUGGCAGUUUCUUUCACCAAAACAUGCAGACACGCAGAGGGGAACUGUGGCUAAUACCCUCAGUCCUCUAUGCAGGGCAAUCAGGGACUACUUGAAGACCCUGAUGAAACAAUGCCUGUUAUAUGAAAUGAUUACAGAAGAGUGGGGCCAGUGCUUUUCCUGACAGGCACUCACUUGUGCUGCCAUCCUCAGCAGGGCCAUGUAGGCUGACUGGUUACAAGCCCUCAGUCGCUCUCCAGUGUCUGGGAAGAACAUUCUAUGUAUCAAGCCAAAGAUGACACUGAGACCUUGCAAUUAACUUGUGAAGUUCAGUGCAGA